UAAUAAGUGUUUUAUGGCACUUUUUAAAUCCAUAUCCACCUUGUGUGCAAUGUCAGUCGAUCUUCUUCAUGGAGAUCGACCAAAACAUCAACCUUUAUCUUUUAACUCUUUGUCUGAAAAAUAUUAUGAAUAAAACAAUUCAAAAUA
This 147-nucleotide unclassified non-coding RNA is filed under the name soil metagenome. RNAcentral's name for it is "partial internal transcribed spacer 1". The record is from RNAcentral.